UCCAUAUUCCAGCUCAAAAUCUUGCUGCUUCCCCUGGUUCAGAAAAAUUUACUCUUCCUCCGGCAAUUAAAUCAAUUAUUGGAUAUAAACAUAUCUUUCAAAUAAUACCUGACAUACAAAGAUUCAGAACAAGCAUUCCUUCUUUUAAAGUUGUCAAAAUCUUUAAUAAUCACUAUGAUACAAAAGCAAUCACUUUUCC
This 199-nucleotide long non-coding RNA is filed under the name Ananas comosus (pineapple). RNAcentral's name for it is "long non-coding RNA (ACOM_LNC026740)". The record is from RNAcentral. Lineage: Eukaryota; Viridiplantae; Streptophyta; Magnoliopsida; Poales; Bromeliaceae.